UGAAUGUCUCACUUCUGCACCU
This 22-nucleotide microRNA is filed under the name Lepisosteus oculatus (spotted gar). RNAcentral's name for it is "Loc-Novel-4_3p (mature (guide))". Lineage: Eukaryota; Metazoa; Chordata; Actinopteri; Semionotiformes; Lepisosteidae. The record is from RNAcentral.